AUGUUUGAUUCCGAUUCUACGUUAAUGCCGUUUGGUUUAUGCCUUUUGCUGCUGCUGUUGUUGUAAUAGUAGGGGUGGUGCUGGUUCUGAUUCUGGUGGUUUCGAUUCGAGGAUGGUGUCGCUGGGGCUCCGGGUCCGGAUUUAUCCGGUUCGGAGUCUGCGUAGGAAGAGAAGUAGUCUCCGCCGUUGACGGAUUCAGCAUCAGGGUGGCGCGUUGGCGCGUGAGGAGGAGGCGCGUGGGAGUCGUUGAUGAGAGGGAAGUCGUCGGUGGCCAUGCGAGAGAGGGAAAGGAAGAUU
RNAcentral lists this unclassified non-coding RNA (297 nucleotides) under Hevea brasiliensis (rubber tree). The record is from RNAcentral. Lineage: Eukaryota; Viridiplantae; Streptophyta; Magnoliopsida; Malpighiales; Euphorbiaceae.